Molecule: non-coding RNA, 435 nt
Filed under: Enterococcus asini ATCC 700915
Lineage: Bacteria; Bacillati; Bacillota; Bacilli; Lactobacillales; Enterococcaceae
Description: cspA thermoregulator
Rfam family: cspA thermoregulator
Source: Rfam by way of RNAcentral
AUUUCUCUACAAGAAAAGAGAAAGAAUAAGCAAUAGGCUUGCAAUUCUCAAUUUCUAUGUGUACAAUAGGUCUUGUAAUUUUGUUUGCUCCAUAGAAGUUCUUAACAACGAGUUAUACCUCUAUCGCAUGCAAGGCAACGUUACAAAAUUUUGAAUUGUGCUGACGCACGAGAGAGGAUGUAUUAUACAUGGAACACGGAACAGUUAAAUGGUUCAACGCAGAAAAAGGCUUCGGAUUUAUCUCACGGGAAGACGGUAGCGACGUAUUCGUUCACUUCUCAGCAAUCCAAGGCGAAGGUUUCAAAACUUUAGAAGAAGGUCAAGCAGUGACUUUCGACGUUGAAGAUUCAGACCGCGGCCCUCAAGCUGUAAACGUUACUAAAGACUAAUAUCUUAGAAAACGUACCGAUUCUCCAUUUUGGAGGAUCGGUUUUU